Molecule: non-coding RNA, 1440 nt
Organism: Punica granatum (pomegranate)
Lineage: Eukaryota; Viridiplantae; Streptophyta; Magnoliopsida; Myrtales; Lythraceae
Source: RefSeq, a predicted model, not a curated record
ACUUCUCCCGCUCUGCCCCUCCCUCCUUCUCCCUCUCUGUCGCAUUCCUCUACAUCCGUUGGCAGCGGCACCCCCACCACCACCCGCCUUUCCUCUCCCUCCCGUUUAUUCCUUCCGCCCAUCUGCUCGCACCGCCUCCCCUGCAAAUUUUCAUGAACGUACUCCACCCAGCCCAGGCUAGCGCCCUUACCGCCUCCCCUAAGAGCGCCCUCACCGCCGUCCUCGCCAUGCUAUGAGACCUGCCAGUCCUCGCAUCUGCUGCUUCAAGAUGGUCUCUUUCCUAUCAUCUCUUCGUAACUUUUCGCAAAAUCCUCCACGGAGUUCUUACACUUGCUGCUCCUAAAUCGCCCCAAUUGCACGUACAUCCCGCACUUUACAUAGUCAUGUCCUCCAUUUCUCCCUCUUAGUUGUAUAAUAUAUAUAUACACUCCUAAGUAUCCGUGCUUAUGCUCCAGCAUUACUAUUUUGUUCGUUAGAUGGGCCAAUAAUAUAGAUUUGCUUAUUGAAUUGGAAUUAGGCAUGCCGGAAACUCGCACAAAAUGAACUAAUACACAAGGAAUGUAGUUUUGCUAACAGUUUUGGAUUGUUUGCUCCGCCUAUUUUGACAUGUUCACGUCCGAAACAUCACCCAAUAUCCAAUUGCUCAUUAAUGUUUGUGCAGACACUUUGCUCUUCUCACGUUUCUUGAUACUUUAAUUGCCACAGCGCAGAGGUGAAUGCUUCCAUACCUGUCUAUUCGUGCCUCUGAUGUCAAGUUUACUCCGCCUUCAUUUUAUUCCUAUGUGAAUUUACUGUUGCAUCCAGUCUUUCUUUCACUUAGAUUUCAUGCUUACCUCUUUAAUAUAAUUAUGCCUUCCUUCUAGGAGAAAGGAAUAUCUUGCUAUAAUUGGUAUGCUAGGCUUACACUUGAACAAAAAAGGAGGAGCUUUGCUAAUAACAAAGAAUGUCAGAACAGGUCCGUCUAACUGCUAUACUCCACCAUGACCAUCGUCGCCCAUCCAUGGCAGCAGGCAGCUCCUGUGCCCAUCCGCAUCGGUCUGCCCCAAAUGCCAUUGAUGUAGUUACUGCGGAAGUGGUUGCAUGGAAUGGCAUACCUAAGCCUAGAUGGAGCCAUUUGAUCAAUAUUAAGGGAUGAGCAUAUGAAGCUAAAUUUUCAUGUCUUGAACGGAAAGGCAUGCCCCUAUCUACAUCAAUUGUCAUUCACUAUUUAUUUAUUUUUUUCACGGAAGCAGAUUAUCUAAUACAUCAAUUUUAAACCAUGGACAGGGCAAGGACAUUAUGCAAAAAUUGCUGUGAGAAGGAUCGGAGUCCAUGUAAUUGUCCCAAUACUUUGUAAUAAAUAGUAUUUAUGUUCAUCAUUACGUCACAUGUAUUGCGGAGAGUUGCUUGCUAAAUCAAUAAUACAGUCUAUUGAAAAUAAAGCAUAUCGUACCUCAAUAA